CCUACGGGGUGCAGCAGUGGGGAAUAUUGGGCAAUGGGCGCAAGCCUGACCCAGCAACGCCGCGUGAAGGAAGAAGGCUUUCGGGUUGUAAACUUCUUUUGUCAGGGACGAAGCAAGUGACGGUACCUGACGAAUAAGCCACGGCUAACUACGUGCCAGCAGUCGCGGCAAGACGUAGGUGGCAAGCGUUAUCCGGAUUUACUGGGUGUAAAGGGCGUGUAGGCGGGACUGGAAGUCAGAUGUGAAAACCACGGGCUCAACCUGUGGCCUGCAUUUGAAACUGUAGUUCUUGAGUACUGGAGAGGCAGACGGAAUGCGUGGUGUAGCGGUGAAAUGCGUAGAUAUUAGGAGGAACACCAGUGGCGAAGGCAGUCUGCUGGACAGCAACUGACGCUGAGGCGCGAAAGCGUGGGGAGCAAACAGGAUUAGAUACCCCAGUAGUC
This 443-nucleotide ribosomal RNA is filed under the name uncultured bacterium. Its description in RNAcentral is "partial 16S ribosomal RNA". It matches the Rfam family "Bacterial small subunit ribosomal RNA", at positions 338 to 795 of the family's 1533-position model. The record is from RNAcentral.